This is a long non-coding RNA of Ictalurus punctatus (channel catfish), 492 nucleotides long. The record is from Ensembl. NCBI's taxonomy places the organism in Eukaryota, Metazoa, Chordata, Actinopteri, Siluriformes, Ictaluridae.
CUCCUGAGUAGCACGCCGUCACUACUUAGUAGGGUAGUAUACGAGGACGAAGACAACCUUUGACAGCUGUGGAAGGUGCUGUGGAAAAAGUCCCCUCAGGCGAAUAAUUUCCGACAGAAGAGGACGUGUCGCGUGACACCACAAAGAAGGGUUGAAAUACCUUCUUCCUUUUUCUUUUCCUUCCCCCCAAAGGUCAAUUUGAGUCAUUGGGAGCUGGGGUAUUGCUGCUGCUGUUGUUGUGUUUUGAUAAAGCUAUAUUUAUGUUCUAUGUCCUGUCAAGUUGAUAAAGUUGCACUGUAUCAAUAGCUGAAAUGAAAUGAUUGAGAGGACAUUUUUAUUUUCUGUGGCUGGUGUGGUACCCUUAAGGGCAUGUUUUAGACCUUAAAGUGCACCUAUAAUGGUUUUUCAGAUAUGACCUUUCGUGUAGUGUGUUAUAUACGUAGCUGUUUGUGAAUGUAAAAAGUCUGCCAAGUUUCAAAAAUCAAAGCGCAC